CUGGGUGACAGAGUGAGACUCUGUCUCAAAAACAAAAACAAAAAGCAAAGCCCUAGAUUUUAUUUCAACUCAUCUAACAUGACUUCCCUUGAGCAUUUUGUUUUGAGGCUAAAAAACAUGAACAUGAGCAUCUCAAUUAAAGUGCCCUUGAAAAGGUUUAUUGGCAGAUUGCUUUCAUCUUGACCAUAACGAAUCACAGAAAAGGGAAAACAAGACAAGGAGUGGCCCGAAGUACCCUUUGAAACACUGCAUUUGGUGAAACUGGCACAGAGUAGCUUUUAAGAAUGCAUUCUGUUCUUGCAAGCCAGCCUGGGGUCUAAGUGAAAUAGAACCUGCAAUACAAUAAAGGAGAUGCCUGUAAAAGAUUCGUACCAUGGAGCGGGGAUGGGAGAAAUUGACUGAUGAAAACCCCACAUUUCUGUAGUCAAGUCUUUACAUGGAGUUGUCUGACGUGCAACCUAAGGUGGUAUCACAUUCGUAGACUUCUCUUCCUCUCCACUCCCCUCCCCUCCAUUCAUUUCCUCCCUCCCUCCCUCUCUUCCUCCCUUCCUCCUUUCCUUCUUUCCUUUUUUUCUUUCCUAUUUCAAAUAUUUAUUGAGCUCAUACUACAUGCUAAUUACUAGGUGCUGAGGUUUCAACAGUGAACACAAUCCCCACUACGGGGGGACCUAUAUGCAAGUGGGAGAGACAAUCAACAAAUAAAUCAAUACAUAUAUAUAAUAAUAGUUUAAGUCAUGAUAAGCACUGUGGUGAAAACAUAAGGUGAGGCAAGUGGCUAGAGAGUGAUGACACAUGCCCUUUUGGAUAGGAGGAGCCAGGAAGACCUCUCUGAUGAGGGCAUAUUUGAGCAGACACCCCAGAGAAUUAGGAGACCCAGCCACAUGAAUUUGUGAAGAAAGGGUACUCCGCAAAAGGGAAACAAGGAAUGCAAAGGCCCCGAGGCAGGAGCACGCUUGUCGUUUUCAAGCAACUGCAGAGAAACGAGUGCAGCCAGAGCGGGUUGAGCAAUGGUAAGAGUGGAGGAAACAAGGCUGUAGAGUGGGCUGGGGGUAAAAUCAAGCCUUACAAGGGAAGGAGCCUGCACUUUAUUCUAAAUACCAUGGAUCCCACUGUAGGGUUUGAAGCAAUAGUGUGACAUCAUCUGACUUGCUUUUCUACAAGAUCGCUCUGACACAGUGAGGAGAGUGGACCAACGUAGACAAAAAUUAAAGCAGGGCGACCAGAAAGGUGGUUAUUGCAGUCAUCUAAGCAAGAGUAAGGGUGACUCAGGAGCUUGCCCGCCACAGGGACUCUCCAGUGCUUUUGGGGUAGUAUUGACCUAUUCUAUGUGCUAAACAUUUUCCCUGUAUUAGCUCCUCUUCACCUCUCAAUCAGGUCCAUACUCUUGAAGGAUGUCUGCAAGCAAUUCCUCUGUCUCCCUUACACACAUACUGCCUCUUCCUACCAACAGCCUCUUUGCUCUUCUCUUGAAUCUGAGAUGCCUUUGUGACUUGCUUUGGCCACGAGAGUGUGGCAGAAACAACACUAUGUCAUUUUCAGACCUGUUCUUUAAGAAGCCUGGGAGGUUUCAUAUUCUCUCCGGGGAAGCCAGGCCCCAUGUAAAGAUGGCCCCACCCAAAUCUCAUCUUGGACUGUAGCUCCCAUAAUUCCCAUGUAUUGUGGGAGGGACCCAGGCUGGACUCCUGAAUGAUGAGACACCAGUGGAGAGAGAGCAAGAGGCCACAUGGGAAAGCACCGGCCAAGGUGGAGAAGCUUUCUUAGCAUGCAUCCCUCCUAGCUGCUACUGAAUACAGCUGAGUGAGUGAUCUCUGCUGAUGCCACUAGAACAAAGAACUACCCAUCUGAACCCUGCCUGAGUUCUUGACCCACAGAAUGACAAGUCUGCUGUUCCCUGUUAUAGAUGAUGUCUCAUGGGACUGAGUAACGGGCUAAGAUUGCCCAAUCGGAGGCUGUUCCAUGUCAUCCUCCCUCAAAAACGUUAGAUAAUGGUGCCUCCACCAUGUGGAACAUCAAGGUUGGUUGUGUUGGGGCAAAGGGAGCAGUGGAUAAUUUCACACUGGGGAUUAAAACUUCCACCCAGAAAUGACACAUUACUCCUUGAUAUGAUUUGGUUGUGUCCCCACCCAAAUCUCAUGUUGGAUUGUAGCUCCCAUAAUUCCCAUGUAUUGUGGGAGGCACCCAGUGGGAGGAAACUGAAUAAUGAGGGUGGGUCUUUCCCAUGCUGUUCUCGUGGUAGUGAAUAAGUCUCGUGAGAGCUAAUGGUUUCAUAAAAGGGAGUUCUCCUGCAUAAACUCUCUUGCCUGCCGCCGUGUAAGACAUGACUUUGCUCCUCAUUCACCUUCUGUCAUAAUUGU
This 2354-nucleotide long non-coding RNA is filed under the name Homo sapiens (human). Its description in RNAcentral is "HSALNT0360009". Lineage: Eukaryota; Metazoa; Chordata; Mammalia; Primates; Hominidae. The record is from RNAcentral.